UUCUAGCGCGGAUUGACACUCACUAAUUUGUACUAAUUUUGCCACAUUUGCAUGGCUAAGCUUUAUUUGUUCCGGCACAGAGUGCUGCAGUGCCCUCAAAAUGUAUCGCUUGUUGACUGUCUAUUACAGGUUUCCGUAAAUCCCCCCUUCUCUCCAGCAAGACCGCAGCCAGCUGUAUCCCAAGGGCCCCUGCCUGCCCCAAACCCUUCCUUUGCAAGGUGUUGACAAGCUCACAAGCGUCCACGAGUCACGACUGGCACCAGUUUGAAAAAUGUGAGUCUGUUUCAAUGAGGGGGCGACGGGACACACAGUUGUGCUAGCUGUGUGAGAGUUGAGAAGGCCGGGGCAGAGGGACCAACUUCAGUCGAAGGCUUUUCACCUUCACCUCCUGGGUGGCACAAAAUGGAAGGGCAUUGAGACCCAGGCUUUCCCAGCAGGCACAGUGCCCAUCCAAAACGGUGGAGUGGGCGUAAGGCUGGGCCUACCGAGACGUUGUGCUGCUUGCUGUUCUCUGAGAGCCAGAGGGAGAGCACCGUGGGGUCCGAUUGCUUGGUGCAGGGCUCAUCCAGAACCAGGAGUCCCAGAUUGUCCGGUUUACCAUCCGGCCGAGGAACCUGAGGUUCACACAAGAUCGGAUCGCAUUCUGCACUCAGAGUAAAGCUGUCACACUGCAUUAUAAAGUUCAGAGUGGUCAGCAGACAACAUGCUCUUUUCUUUUUUUUUUUUUUUUUUUUUACAAAAACUUGGUAGCUAACCUUGAGGAAAGCGUCAAUGUCACCAACUGCAGGGAUGAAGUCGGGGAUGAAUGGCUUCAGCUUGUGGUCUAGCUCAAUAGUCUGAGGUGUGUAUCUAACGUGGGAGGGAACAAAAGCAUGGACGGGAAAUUACUUUCCACUGAAGCGUACUGUGAAAUGUUCAUCGCUUGACAUAUGACUUAUCUUUGUAUCUUGGCUGCUUUGCUGCAGCUGUGGUUUGCAGAUGAGUGGCAGACCUUCACUCACCGUGUGAUGUACUGAAACAAUUCUUUGAUCUCUGCAGUCACAGGAAGGUGGUCGUAGUCUGCAGGGUCGUAUGCUCUGUAAGUGAGUGGAAGAGCCUUUUAAACACACAGUACACAAUCUGUUGAAUAAAAUUCUGUCUACCCUCAUUCAAAAA
Molecule: long non-coding RNA, 1155 nt
Organism: Anguilla rostrata (American eel)
Lineage: Eukaryota; Metazoa; Chordata; Actinopteri; Anguilliformes; Anguillidae
Exons: 3
Source: RefSeq, a predicted model, not a curated record